Molecule: ribosomal RNA, 870 nt
Filed under: Triticum aestivum (bread wheat)
Lineage: Eukaryota; Viridiplantae; Streptophyta; Magnoliopsida; Poales; Poaceae
Description: partial small subunit ribosomal RNA
Source: RNAcentral
AUGUCAUAUAGGAGCAACAACCUUGAGAUCUCACCAUUUGCUUCUAGUAAUCAUAUGCAGGGAUUUAGGUAUGAAGAGGAGAGCAACAACUAUGCACCACAACAAUUUUAUUCACCUCCUACUCAUAUACCUCAACACCAGGAGAUGUGUCCAAUGGAGUUAAAUGGUCCUCCACUUGGUCAACCAACAACUCCAGCACCUGUUGAGAAAUCUCAUGCACAAGUGCCCAGACAAGAUGACUUUGAUGAUAUAGACAAGCUCACAUUGCUUAGUCUUGAGUUCACUUGGAGUGUUGAAGAUGAUCCAAUUAGGCCGGUGAUACGAGAGGAAAUGAAGAAGAUCAAGAGUGGAAAAGAGCUAGUGGAAGAAGUUAGGAAAAUUGAGAAGAAAAUCAAUGUCGGGUGCACUAUCUCAUCCCUCCUUGAGCUGAGUGUUGCUGGGAUAUCCCUUGAGGUGUGUAAGGUUUCAAUACCAUCACAUUCAGCUGAGCAAGAUAGCGAGAGUCCAGAGGAAGAGACACUUCAAAUCCAAGAAGAAAUACUUGAAGACAAGGAACAAGAUGAUCCAGAGCUGCAAUUCCCAAGUGAUCAAGAUGAAGACAAAAGAUCUACUACUCUUGAAGAAGUAAAAGAAGCUGCUGUAGAUGAACUUGAAGAACCAGAAAUUCAUUUGCCUAUUGUCAUACAAGAGCGUGAUGAGUCAGGUUUUUCCUACUGCACCAUUUACUACAUGCUGACCAGGUUUGAGGUGACAUCCCUUGGGACCCCGGUGGAUUCAGAGCAUGGUCACGAGGAGAAGCAAGGAGCACACAUGAAGAAGAGUGAAGAUGGAGCAUGCACGAGGAAGCAAAGGAGAAGAGCUGCAGCUUAG